RNAcentral lists this ribosomal RNA (166 nucleotides) under Acinetobacter baumannii 959073. Its description in RNAcentral is "partial 16S ribosomal RNA". The record is from RNAcentral. Lineage: Bacteria; Pseudomonadati; Pseudomonadota; Gammaproteobacteria; Moraxellales; Moraxellaceae.
AAAAUAAAUUUUAGAUCGUUCUAGUGAUUAACUAACUUUCUUUGAGCAAGUUAUGGAAAAUUUUGAAGUUAUAAAAGCACUGUUUCUAGGCUUUGUUGAAGGCUUAACUGAAUUUUUACCUAUUUCGAGUACUGGUCAUUUAAUUUUAUUUGGUCAUAUUAUCGAU